UACCGGAAUUAUGGGGCGUAAAGCGCGCGUAGGCGGUUUUUUAAGUAUGAUGUGAAAUCCCAGGCUCAACCGUGGAGGGUCAUUGGAAACUGGAAAACUUGAGUGCAGAAGAGGAAAGUGGAUUCCAUGUGUAGCGGUGAAAUGCGCAGAGAUAUGGAGGAACACCAGUGGCGAAGGCGACUUUCUGGUCUGUAACUGACGCUGAUGUGCGAAAGCGUGGGGAUCAAACAGGAUUAGAUACCUGGUAGUCCACGCCGUAAACGAUGAGUGCUAAGUGUUAGGGGGUUUCCGCCCCUUAGUGCGCAGCUAACGCAUUAAGCACUCCGCCUGGGGAGUACGACCGCAAGGUUGAAACUCAAAGGAUUGACGGGGACCCGCACAAGCGGUGGAGCAUGUGGUUUAAUUCGAAGCAACGCGAAGAACUUACCAAAUCUUGACAUCCUUUGACCGCUCUAGAGAUAGAGUUUUCCCCUUCGGGGGACAAGUGACAGGUGGUGCAUGGUUGUCGUCAGCUCGUGUCGUGAGAUGUUGGGUUAAGUCCCCAACGAGCGCAACCCUUAAACUUAGUUGCCAGCAUUCAGUUGGGCACUCUAAGUUGACUGCGGUGACAAACCGGAGGAAGGUGGGGAUGACGUCAAAUCAUCAUGCCCCUUAUGAUUUGGCUACACACGUGCUACAAUGGACAAUACAAAGGGCAGCGAAACCGCGAGGUCAAGCAAAUCCAUAAAGUUGUUCUCAGUUCGGAUUGUAGUCUGCAACUCGACUACAUGAAGCUGGAAUCGUAGUAAUCGUAGAUCAGCAUGCUACGGUGAAUACGUUCCCGGGUCUUGUACACACCGCCCU
This 843-nucleotide ribosomal RNA is filed under the name uncultured Staphylococcus sp. RNAcentral's name for it is "bacterial SSU rRNA". It matches the Rfam family "Bacterial small subunit ribosomal RNA", at positions 543 to 1396 of the family's 1533-position model. The record is from RNAcentral. Lineage: Bacteria; Bacillati; Bacillota; Bacilli; Caryophanales; Staphylococcaceae.